Long non-coding RNA from Phyllostomus discolor (pale spear-nosed bat), 920 nucleotides. RefSeq lists it as uncharacterized. NCBI's taxonomy places the organism in Eukaryota, Metazoa, Chordata, Mammalia, Chiroptera, Phyllostomidae. The transcript has 2 exons. The record is from RefSeq and is a predicted model, not a curated record.
CCCCCACCCCCGCUGCGCCGCCGCCCCACCCACAGCGCCUAGGCAACCUAGAGCCUCUGUUUUCCCCAUGACGUGGGGUCGCCUGCCUUAGCACUUCUGUCCCUGCCUGGAUGCGGGUAUAUGUGUUGGGGCGGUCUGUGUAGUCUUUGGACAUCCAUACGAUUUUGCAGUGUUUUACCUAAAGAGUCAAGGAUGUGCAUUUCACCUCCCGGGGAUGAUCUGUAGUUGUACUCCGGAAGCUGACAAGAAACAUAGCGAGACCCUUAGGAAGUCUCACUGGAGGGACUGGCUGCCCUUCUACCAAACCGCCUCCCACAGUCGCCCCCACCAAGUGAAAUAGAAAGUAAUCUGGCCUGGGGGCUGACGGGGGAGACGCCCGAAAAAAACCGUGGCAGGACGCCUAGUGCCAGGCAGACUCCUGGCAACAGAAAGGAAGGGAAGUCGCAAGGAGAGAAGCUCGGGUUCAUAUUUCAACCAGGUUUCUUCAUGGAGCCUUCCUGGGGUGGGGGUGGAGGAGCGGUGCCCUCAUUUCGGAGUCCAGCUGUGCUCUGGUGAAGUCUGGUAGGCCCGCUUUGCUCACCUGAGAGUGUGUGUGUGUGUGUGUGUGUGUGUGGGCAGGGGCGGGAGGGAGGAAAGGAGCAAUGAGUAGUAAAAUGAUUCCAAGAUUAAGGGAGAGAGGUGCAUCACAGAGGGUGUGAGAUAAAUAAACUAGGACUUGGAUCUGAAGAGUCGGAAACCCAAACACGUUCAGACCCGUGGUAUGUUGGGGAACUUCGAUGCCCUACCUCGGGGAGGAGCUCAGACGUAGGGGAAAGUCCCCCUGGUCGCGCAAACUGUCCCUUCACACCCACGGUGCUUGCCCACCCCGUCUCCCUCCCCUAUCUGACCCACUUCCUCUCUCUACUUCCCCUGGUGGAGAA